This 496-nucleotide ribosomal RNA is filed under the name uncultured bacterium. RNAcentral's name for it is "partial 16S ribosomal RNA". It matches the Rfam family "Bacterial small subunit ribosomal RNA", at positions 28 to 506 of the family's 1533-position model. The record is from RNAcentral.
GAUGAACGCUGGCGGCGUGCCUAAUACAUGCAAGUCGAGCGAACAGAUGAGGAGCUUGCUCCUCUGACGUUAGCGGCGGACGGGUGAGUAACACGUGGAUAACCUACCUAUAAGACUGGGAUAACUUCGGGAAACCGGAGCUAAUAUCGGAUAAUAUAUUGAAUCGCAUGGUUCAAUAGUGAAAGACGGUUUUGCUGUCACUUAUAGAUGGAUCCGCGCCGCAUUAGCUAGUUGGUAAGGUAACGGCUUACCAAGGCAACGAUGCGUAGCGGACCUGAGAGAGUGAUCGUCCAAACUGAAACGGGGACACGGUCCAGACUCCUACGGGAGGCAGAGGUAGGGAAUCUUCCGCAAGGGGCGAAGGCCUGACGGGGCAACGCCGCGUGAGUGAUGAAGGUCUUCGGAUCGUAAAACUCUGUUAUUAGGGAAGAGCAAAUGUGUAAGUAACUAUGCACGUCUUGACUGAACCUAAUCAGAAAGCCACGGCUAACUACGG